AGCAGGGACUGGUUUGAAACUG
This 22-nucleotide microRNA is filed under the name Echinococcus granulosus. RNAcentral describes it as "egr-miR-10237-5p". The record is from miRBase by way of RNAcentral. Lineage: Eukaryota; Metazoa; Platyhelminthes; Cestoda; Cyclophyllidea; Taeniidae.